This 325-nucleotide transfer-messenger RNA is filed under the name Rhodocyclus gracilis. It matches the Rfam family "Betaproteobacteria transfer-messenger RNA". From Rfam's summary of the family: Bacterial tmRNA, also known as 10Sa RNA or SsrA, is named for its dual tRNA and mRNA-like properties. Its role is to liberate the mRNA from a stalled ribosome. Lineage: Bacteria; Pseudomonadati; Pseudomonadota; Betaproteobacteria; Rhodocyclales; Rhodocyclaceae. The record is from RNAcentral.
CUUCGCUGAAUCCUUGAAUAGCGGCGGGUUCGGCCCCAUAAUCCUAGGAUGGUUGUAAUUCCGGCAAUCUGGAGGCGUUCUGGACGCGGGUUCGAUUCCCGCCACCUCCACCUAAAGGCACCGGAGUGCGUUUAGGUGGGGGUGUACUGGCUUCGACAGGGCGGGCGAAGGUGAGCAGGCAACUCGUCAGGCGAUCGACGUUAAUGAAGCAAAUCUCUAAACGCCAACGAUGAGCGUUUCGCAAUCGCCGCUUAAGGCCUUUGCCGAGGCUGCUUGAGCCUUGUUACCAAAGAAAAGCCGGCGGGGACUUCGGUCCCCGUCGUCA